This 1908-nucleotide transfer RNA is filed under the name Phasianus colchicus (ring-necked pheasant). RNAcentral describes it as "lncRNA (ENSPCLG00000016693.1)". The stretch from base 1206 to 1277 matches the Rfam family "tRNA". The record is from RNAcentral. Lineage: Eukaryota; Metazoa; Chordata; Aves; Galliformes; Phasianidae.
AUGGAGGAUGUCACCACAUGGAGGAUGUCACCCUAUGGAGGAGGUCACCCUAUGGAGGAUGUCACCUGGAAGUUGAUGUCACCGUAUGGAGGUGGAUGUCACCCUAUGGAGGAUGUCACCUGGAGGUGGAUGUCACCCUAAGGAGGAUGUCACCCUAUGGAGAUGUUACCUGGAAGCGGAUGUCACCUGGUGGCAGAUGUCACCCCAUGGAGGAUGUCAGUCACCAUCUCGAUGUCACCUGGAGGCAGAUGUCACCCUGCGAUGGAUGUCACCCCAUGGACGAUGUCACCCCAUGGUGGAUGUCACCCCAUGGAGGAUGUCAGUUGCUGGCUCGAUGUCACCUGGAGGAGAAUGUCACCCCAUGGCUCACUGGAUGUCACCCUGUUGGAUGCCACCCGACUGGUUGUCACCCCAUGGCUCAAUGGAUGUCACCCCAUUGGAUGUCACCCCAUGGCUCAAUGGAUGUCACCCCAUUUGAUGUCACCCAUUCGGAUGUCACCCCAAUGGGUGUCACCCCAUUAGAUGUCACCCCACUGGAUGUCACCCCAUUUGAUGUCACCCCAUGGCUCAAUGGAUGUCACCCCACUGGAUGUCACCCCAUUGGAUGUCACCCCAUUCGAUGUCACCCCACUGGAUGUCACCCCAUUGGAUGUCACCCCAUGUCUCAUUGGAUGUCACCCCAUUCGAUGUCACCCCAUUGGACGUCACCCCACGGCUCAAUGGAUGUCACCCGAUUGGAUGUCACCCCAUUGGAUGUCACCCUAAUGGGUGUCACCCCAAUGAAUGUCACCCAUUCGGAUGUCACCCCAAUGGGUGUCACCCCAUUGGAUGUCACCUGCUGUGACCUCAGGGCACGCGUGGCCUUUGCUUUGUACCCGCCUGGGAUUAAUUACCCUUUGGAAAAGUGAUUAAAAAUGCUAAUUUACAUCUCUGCGAACCCCGAGUGGCGUUUUGGGGUCCCCAAACCCCAUUCCUAGACAGAACCGCCGAGUGGAUCCAUAACGCGCAUGCUGAUUGGCUACUUGCAGAGCACGCCUUCGCUCUCGGCCAAUCCCUGCGCGCCUUUCAGAACCGCGGGGGCGGGCCUACCCGUCUGGCCCCGCCCCUCUCGGGGGCGUGUAGCCAAUCAGGGCGGCCGUAGCAUUUUGACGUCUCAGCUCCGCCAAUGGCGUUGUGAGAAACAUAACGAGCAAGGCUUCCGUCCCUCCCUGGUGGUCUAGUGGUUAGGAUUCGGCGCUCUCACCGCCGCGGCCCGGGUUCGAUUCCCGGUCAGGGAAGAUUUGUUUUCUCUCUUUUCUCCCCAUUUUGACCCAUUUCUUCCUAUUUUUUUUUAUCCUUUGGGCCAUUUUCUUCCUCCUUUUUACCCUUUCCUCCUCUUUUUCUCCCUCUUUUCUCCCCAUUUUGACCCUUCCCCAUUUCCCCCUUUGUUUCCUCCUUUUCAGUUUUCCUCCUCCUUUCCAUUUCCCCCCCUUUUUCCUCCUCCUUUUGCAUUUUUUUCCUUUUUUUCUCCUAUUUUUUUCAGUUUUCCUCCUAUUUUUCCCCUUUUUCCCUCCUCAUUUCGCUCUUUUCCUCCUUUUUCUGUAUUCUUUUCCCCCUUUUCCUCCUAUUUUGCCCCAUUUCCCCCAUUUUUUCCUCCCCCUUUUUCCUCCCUGCCCUUCCCCAUUUUGCCCAUUUCUCCAUGUUUCCUCCUCAUUUUCACUUCAUUUCUUCUCUCUUUGAAACUUUUUCCUCUCUUAUCCCCCUUUUCACUCCUCCUCCCCCUCUUCCUCUUUUCCUUUUGACAUUUCUCUCCCAUUUCUCCCCUUCAUUUUGAUUUCCUCCCCCCUUUUUCCUCUCUCCUUUUUCCUCUCCUUUUUCCUCCCCCUUUUCCUUUUUAUUUUUUCCCUCUUUUUCCUCCUCCUUUUUCCU